This 228-nucleotide long non-coding RNA is filed under the name Setaria viridis. Its description in RNAcentral is "long non-coding RNA (SVIR_LNC007417)". The record is from RNAcentral. Lineage: Eukaryota; Viridiplantae; Streptophyta; Magnoliopsida; Poales; Poaceae.
GGUGCGAUAUAAAAUGAAAAAAGUGUGGAUAUUGAUGAAAAAAAUGUAUAGAGUAAUUACUAAUUAAAAAUAAAUCAAAUCCGGAUAAAGAUAAGGACACAUUAUGUUGAAGUAUUGAAAAAAUGAGAGAGUAGUAAUUUAACAAUUUUGAUUAUUAGUCAGGCGUUUAAUUUCUAAAUUAUUUUUAAAUAUAAUAAUUUUAAAAAUACUGGCCCGUGCAUAGCACGG